This 1414-nucleotide ribosomal RNA is filed under the name metagenome. RNAcentral's name for it is "bacterial SSU rRNA". It matches the Rfam family "Bacterial small subunit ribosomal RNA". The record is from RNAcentral.
UGUGGCGAGUGGCGAACGGGUGAGUAAUGUAUCGGAACGUACCUUUCAGUGGGGGAUAACGUAGCGAAAGUUACGCUAAUACCGCAUAUUCUGUGAGCAGGAAAGCAGGGGAUCGCAAGACCUUGCGCUGAUUGAGCGGCCGAUAUCAGAUUAGCUAGUUGGUGAGGUAAAGGCUCACCAAGGCGACGAUCUGUAGCGGGUCUGAGAGGAUGAUCCGCCACACUGGAACUGAGACACGGUCCAGACUCCUACGGGAGGCAGCAGUGGGGAAUUUUGGACAAUGGGGGCAACCCUGAUCCAGCCAUGCCGCGUGAGUGAAGAAGGCCUUCGGGUUGUAAAGCUCUUUCGGCCGGGAAGAAAUCGCAUGGGUUAAUACCCUGUGCGGAUGACGGUACCGGCAUAAGAAGCACCGGCUAACUACGUGCCAGCAGCCGCGGUAAUACGUAGGGUGCGAGCGUUAAUCGGAAUUACUGGGCGUAAAGCGUGCGCAGGCGGUUUUUUAAGACAGGCGUGAAAUCCCCGGGCUCAACCUGGGAACUGCGCUUGUGACUGGAAGGCUAGAGUCGCAGAGGGGGGUGGAAUUCCACGUGUAGCAGUGAAAUGCGUAGAGAUGUGGAGGAACACCAAUGGCGAAGGCAGCCCCCUGGGCCAAUACUGACGCUCAUGCACGAAAGCGUGGGUAGCAAACAGGAUUAGAUACCCUGGUAGUCCACGCCCUAAACGAUGUCAACUAGGUGUUGGGUGGGUAAAACCAUUUAGUACCGGAGCUAACGCGUGAAGUUGACCGCCUGGGGAGUACGGCCGCAAGGUUAAAACUCAAAGGAAUUGACGGGGACCCGCACAAGCGGUGGAUGAUGUGGAUUAGUUCGAUGCAACGCGAAAGACCUUACCUACCCUUGACAUGUCCAGGAGCCUGAAGAGAUUUGGGUGUGCCCGAAAGGGAACUGGAACACAGGUGCUGCAUGGCUGUCGUCAGCUCGUGUCGUGAGAUGUUGGGUUAAGUCCCGCAACGAGCGCAACCCUUGUCGUUAAUUGCCAUCAUUCAGUUGGGCACUUUAACGAGACUGCCGGUGACAAACCGGAGGAAGGUGGGGAUGACGUCAAGUCCUCAUGGCCCUUAUGGGUAGGGCUUCACACGUCAUACAAUGGUCGGUACAAAGGGUUGCCAAGCCGCGAGGUGGAGCCAAUCCCAGAAAGCCGAUCGUAGUCCGGAUCGCAGGCUGCAACUCGCCUGCGUGAAGUCGGAAUCGCUAGUAAUCGUGGAUCAGCAUGUCACGGUGAAUACGUUCCCGGGUCUUGUACACACCGCCCGUCACACCAUGGGAGCGGGUUCCGCCAGAAGUAGGUAGCCUAACCGCAAGGAGGGCGCUUACCACGGCGGGGUUCGUGACUGGGGUGAAGUCGAAACAAGGUA